Molecule: RNA transcript, 1759 nt
Organism: Populus euphratica (Euphrates poplar)
Lineage: Eukaryota; Viridiplantae; Streptophyta; Magnoliopsida; Malpighiales; Salicaceae
Gene name: pathogenesis-related protein 5-like
Exons: 4
Source: RefSeq, a predicted model, not a curated record
AGCUUUAAUUAUAUUUGUAUAUUCACUUGUCUCUCUCACACGUAUUCUCCUUGUUGAUUAUCUUGCCAUGAGCUCCAUUGUCUCCUUUAUCCCCUCCUUCCAUCGUCUCACUUGUCAAGCUGUGCCCACUAAGAAGAUAGUGCUUUGAGAUGGCUCAAAUCCUAGGUCGCCAUCUUCAUCUGUUCAUGCUCCUGACAGUUCUCAUUCUCCAGAUCGCCAUGGCAGCAGGGCAAAACACGUCCACUGAGGCAAAAAGUUUUACGUUAGUUAAUAACUGCAACGAUACAGUAUGGCCUGGAAUCCUAACAAGAGGUAACAAUAGCAAUGGCUAUGGUUUUGCUCUACAACAAGGCCAAACCGCCUUCUACAGCGCCACGGCCGGAUGGAGUGGCCGGAUGUGGGCACGAACCGGUUGCAGUUUUGAUAAAAACGGCACUGGAACUUGUCAAACAGGUAGCUGCGGCACCUCUAUAAACUGCACAGUCCCGAGUAAACCACCCAACACCAUUGCCGAGUUCACUCUUGGUGAUGUUGAUUUCUACGAUGUUAGCCUUGUCGAUGGAUUUAAUUUGCCUAUAGUAAUUUCUCCUAUUGAUGGCAAGGGAAAUUGUAGCAUUGCUGGUUGCGAUGGGGACCUCCGACAAAAUUGCUCGUCCGGACUGGCUGUUAAGUCCGACGGGAAGGUCAUUGCUUGCCGGAGCGCAUGUGAUGCUUUCAACACCGACGAAUACUGUUGUAGAGGAGCAUAUGCCGAUCCUGUAGCAUGUCUGCCAACCAACUUUUCCAGGAGUUUUAAACAAGUCUGUCCUGCAGCAGCUAGCUAUGCAUUUGAUGACAGUAUAAGCAUCAUAACAUGCUCUGCCUCAGAAUACAUUGUCACCUUCUGUGCCUCAAGGAAUCAAAAGGUGUGCUCUUAUCAUGAUAACAAGCUUGUCUGCAACACAUCGAAUGGUUCAAAAGCAUCUCCCCUUGGCCUAGGAGGAUGGAUUGUGGUGUUGGCACUGCCUUUGACAUAUAAUUUGAAGAUGAAAUUCUAUCACAGCUGACAUUAAUGCUCCCCUUCUCUCGAGAACGUCCUCUCCUUUGUAAAUCAAGAAACUUUUCCUGAUGCCUUGUUUUUUGCAGCAUGUUUGAAACUCUCUGGAUUGAAUUCUAUUCAGAUAUUUUAGUCAAAUCAUGAGCCCAUAACCAGUCAGAUACAAAAAGAAGAUUGGAAGUAACAGAUUCUCAAUACAGUAACAUGCUGACAACAUGAAAUGAUCAAAAGCUUCUGCUUAGCAAAGCUAGUUCAACUAAACCAAUAUAAAUUUUCAGGGCUGGAGUGAAUUCUCCAUGUUAAUAGCAAAACAAUAAGUUCUUGGUGUUACCUGCUAAAUUGCUCCAUGGAUACAAUAGCUGGGAGAGAUAUAAUCCCAUAUGUGGUGGUGCUACCAUGAAUAGCCUGUUCUGCCAUAAAUAUUUCCUCAAGCUGUUGAGCAUCAAAUGUAGCUCCAACAUCAGGCUGCUGCUGCUUCUUCCCACAAUGAUCACCAAAUGGAAGUGACCUCGUCCAAGAAAUCUUGGGUUUUAGAAGCCCAUGAACUCACUCUUUCUUGCACUGCAUCUGUCACCACAUCACAUCACAUCACAUCACAUCACACAAACAUGCAGACUUGCUGAAUCCUACUUUGCCACUACCUACUGUUGCUCACUUGGAUCAAUGCCAUUGAGCUUCCAUUUGUCUCCUUCAAACUGACUCGCAACCUUAAACCUGCAGCUU